GGCCUUGGCUCUCGCUGGUUCCUCUGUGCUGUCCCUCAGUUUUGCUUCGCAGAAGUACAUCCCAACGUCAGCAGAGGUCGGGUUGGUGAUCGUGAGGCGUCUCCCAAAACUGCUAAUUCCACUGGUGAUUUUUAUCCCAUUUCUCUUCCACAUUAUGCUUAGUCUCUCAACAGGUCUUGCACUGGCUACACAUUCCAAUGUGACUUCACUGGUCCCCACUACAACGCUCGUGUUCUGCGGAGGGAUGACGAUGAUGGGAGCCGUGGGGUCAGAUGGGUCCGUGGCACUCGCUAUGCUGAGAUGAAUAAGUGGGCUUGUCUUGUUCUCGCCGUUCUUUUCAUUGACAGCCUGGGCAU
This 356-nucleotide long non-coding RNA is filed under the name Gallus gallus (chicken). The record is from RNAcentral. Lineage: Eukaryota; Metazoa; Chordata; Aves; Galliformes; Phasianidae.